RNAcentral lists this long non-coding RNA (700 nucleotides) under Elaeis guineensis (African oil palm). RNAcentral's name for it is "long non-coding RNA (EGUI_LNC026974)". Lineage: Eukaryota; Viridiplantae; Streptophyta; Magnoliopsida; Arecales; Arecaceae. The record is from RNAcentral.
GCAUAUGUGAUAUGAAAGAGCAUGUUUUAUUAUGAGCAUUGAUUUUAUGAACAUGUUUUAUGAAAAUAGCAUGAUUAUGAAGCAUGAAUUUCAUUGUUCUUCCAUCUAUGUAUAUGUAUGCUUUAAGAAAAAGAUAUAAAGAUUUCAAAGGCUCUCAGAUGGCUAUGAAUGAAUCCCUUCGGGAAGGUCGACAUCCGGAGCUAGCAUCCACACGAAAUAUGACCCUGCCAGCGGGUAUAAAGUUGGUACAUGAAUUAAGAACUCUGUCGAUUAAGAAAUAUGGCCCUGUCACGGAUAUAAUAGUGACCUUAGCACGAAUAUUUGUGAGCAAUGUUUUGAAACAUGACAUGAAUACAUGAUGAAAAUGAUUUACGAUUCAUGAUUGUGAAAUAUACAUGAUUUAUGCAUGCAUGAUGAGUUUAUAACUUGUUUUGUUAUAUGCUCUAUGAAAUACUUUAUUUUGUAUUAUCUGUUAUUUUCUAAAUAUUGUAUUAUCAUGAAAAAAAAUUUUAUGCUUGAUCCGAUAAGGAAGUGCAAGUUCUACUUACUGGGCUAGUGUAGCUCAUAUUCUUUUUGUUUUCUUUUUGUUUGAACAGAGAAAUAAGGUUAGGAUCGGCAAAAGGAAUCCAAGCUUGAAGAUCGGCAUAGCAAGCUGAAAAAUUUGACAACAGAAGUUUAAUUUAUUUUACAAUCAUGAAUU